This 250-nucleotide ribosomal RNA is filed under the name uncultured bacterium. RNAcentral describes it as "partial 16S ribosomal RNA". It matches the Rfam family "Bacterial small subunit ribosomal RNA", at positions 355 to 602 of the family's 1533-position model. The record is from RNAcentral.
UAAGGAAUAUUGGUCAAUGGAGGGAACUCUGAACCAGCCAUCCCGCGUGCAGGAAGACGGCCCUCUGGGUUGUAAACUGCUUUUAUCUGGGAAGAAAAGUCUUCAUUUAUGGGGAUCUGACGGUACCAGAGGAAUAAGCACCGGCUAACUCCGUGCCAGCAGCCGCGGUAAUACGGAGGGUGCAAGCGUUAUCCGGAAUUACUGGGUUUAAAGGGUGCGUAGGCGGCGCUGUAAGUCAGGGGUGAAAGGU